Molecule: small nuclear RNA, 97 nt
Filed under: Vombatus ursinus (common wombat)
Lineage: Eukaryota; Metazoa; Chordata; Mammalia; Diprotodontia; Vombatidae
Source: RNAcentral
GUCUCGCACAUAUACUAAAAUUGGAACUAGAUGGAGAAGAUUAGCAUGGCCCCUGCACAAGGAUGACACACAAAUUAGUGAAGCAUUCCAUAUUUUU